CAGUCGCCGCGGGAAUACGUAGGUGGCAAGCGUUGUCCGGAAUUAUUGGGCGUAAAGCGCGCGCAGGUGGUUUAAUAAGUCUGAUGUGAAAGCCCACGGCUCAACCGUGGAGGGUCAUUGGAAACUGUUAAACUUGAGUGCAGGAGAGAAAAGUGGAAUUCCUAGUGUAGCGGUGAAAUACGUAGAGAUUAGGAGGAACACCAGUGGCGAAGGCGGCUUUUUGGCCUGUAACUGACACUGAGGCGCGAAAGCGUGGGGAGCAAACAGGAUUAGAUACCCCGGUAGUCCCUGUCUCUUAUAC
This 301-nucleotide ribosomal RNA is filed under the name uncultured bacterium. RNAcentral's name for it is "partial 16S ribosomal RNA". It matches the Rfam family "Bacterial small subunit ribosomal RNA", at positions 509 to 807 of the family's 1533-position model. The record is from RNAcentral.